RNAcentral lists this unclassified non-coding RNA (284 nucleotides) under Basidiomycota sp. Its description in RNAcentral is "partial contains small subunit ribosomal RNA, internal transcribed spacer 1, and 5.8S ribosomal RNA". The stretch from base 1 to 47 matches the Rfam family "Eukaryotic small subunit ribosomal RNA", at positions 1785 to 1831 of the family's 1831-position model. The record is from RNAcentral. Lineage: Eukaryota; Fungi; Basidiomycota.
AAAGUCGUAACAAGGUUUCCGUAGGUGAACCUGCGGAAGGAUCAUUAUGAAUUUUGACGGGGGUCUUGAAUGAGACCUCUUCAUUUUUCUGUGAACUGGUAUUGUUUGUUCCGAGUAGGCUGUCCUUUUAUUGGGAGGGUUGAAAAGAUGAACGAUAUGUUUUUGUUAUCUUAUAUUUAUUCCAUCUUUUAUUUCAUACAUCUUUUUCUUUUUCGAAAGAAGAAGACUUUUUGAAGUAAAAACAAAAACCAAGACAACUUUCAGCAAUGGAUCUCUUGGCUCUU